This 497-nucleotide ribosomal RNA is filed under the name uncultured bacterium. Its description in RNAcentral is "partial 16S ribosomal RNA". It matches the Rfam family "Bacterial small subunit ribosomal RNA", at positions 28 to 507 of the family's 1533-position model. The record is from RNAcentral.
GACGAACGCUGGCGGCGUGCCUAAUACAUGCAAGUUGAGCGAUGAAGCUUGGUGCUUGCACCAAUUUGAAGAGCAGCGAACGGGUGAGUAACGCGUGGGGAAUCUGCCUUUGAGCGGGGGACAACAUUUGGAAACGAAUGCUAAUACCGCAUAAUAACUUUAAACAUAAGUUUUAAGUUUGAAAGAUGCAAUUGCAUCACUCAAAGAUGAUCCCGCGUUGUAUUAGCUAGUUGGUGAGGUAAAGGCUCACCAAGGCGAUGAUACAUAGCCGACCUGAGAGGGUGAUCGGCCACAUUGGGACUGAGACACGGCCCAAACUCCUACGGGAGGCAGCAGUAGGGAAUCUUCGGCAAUGGACGAAAGUCUGACCGAGCAACGCCGCGUGAGUGAAGAAGGUUUUCGGAUCGUAAAACUCUGUUGGUAGAGAAGAACGUUGGUGAGAGUGGAAAGCUCAUCAAGUGACGGUAACUACCCAGAAAGGGACGGGUAACUACGUG